ACUCAAUAGAUACCCAGGUAGCCCACGCCCUAAACGAUGUCUACUAGUUGUCGGGUCUUAAUUGACUUGGUAAACGCAGCUAAACGCGUGAAGUAGACCGCCUGGGGAGUACGGUCGCAAGAUUAAAACUCAAAGGAAUUGACGGGGACCCGCACAAGCGGUGGAUGAUGUGGAUUAAAUUCGAUGCAACGCGAAAAACCUUACCUACCCUUGACAUGGAUGGAAUCCUUGAGAGAUUGAGGAGUGCUCGAAAGAGAACCAUUACACAGGUGCUGCAUGGCUGUCGUCAGCUCGUGUCGUGAGAUGUUGGGUUAAGUCCCGCAACGAGCGCAACCCUUGUCAUUAGUUGCUACGAAAGGGCACUCUAAUGAGACUGCCGGUGACAAACCGGAGGAAGGUGGGGAUGACGUCAAGUCCUCAUGGCCCUUAUGGGUAGGGCUUCACACGUCAUACAAUGGUACAUACAGAGGGCCGCCAACCCGCGAGGGGAGCUAAUCCCAGAAAGUGUAUCGUAGUCCGGAUUGUAGUCUGC
This 532-nucleotide ribosomal RNA is filed under the name uncultured bacterium. Its description in RNAcentral is "bacterial SSU rRNA". It matches the Rfam family "Bacterial small subunit ribosomal RNA", at positions 772 to 1308 of the family's 1533-position model. The record is from RNAcentral.